RNAcentral lists this ribosomal RNA (1086 nucleotides) under Triticum aestivum (bread wheat). Its description in RNAcentral is "partial small subunit ribosomal RNA". The record is from RNAcentral. Lineage: Eukaryota; Viridiplantae; Streptophyta; Magnoliopsida; Poales; Poaceae.
AUGUGUGUACCUAAAGACAUAGGUGGUAUGGGAUUCCGAGAUAUCCAAAGCUUUAACUUAGCAAUGUUGGCCAAGCAAUGUUGGAGGCUUAUUGAUAAUUAUGAAUCUCUUUGUGCAAGAGUGCUACGUGCACGAUACUAUCCUUCUGGGGAUAUAUUAAAUUGUGAAUUGAAGAAAGGAUCCUCUUACGUACGGCAGAGUAUUUGGGCAGGGAUCCAAACUUUCAAAAAAGGUUGUAUUUGGCAAGUCAGAGAUGGAUCAAAAAUUAGUAUUUGGGAGGACUGCUGGAUUCCCAACAGCCCUUCUAGGAAAAUCAUCACAGUUCGGGGGAAUAGAGUUUUGACAAAGGUAAAUGAGUUGAUUGAUCCGGCUUCUGGUGAAUGGGAUGAUGAGCUCAUAAGAGAUAAUUUUUGGCAUAUAGAUGCGGAUCGUAUUCUCCAAAUACCGAUCCAUCACCAAGUGACCGAGGAUUAUAUUGCAUGGCACUUAACUAAAGGUGUGUUUUCUGUGCGCUCGGACUAUUACAAGCAAUGGGAAGAUAACUAUGCUGCUGAUAUGGCACAGGGAGAGAUGAGUGGUUCAUGUCCGCACCCUGUUUGGAAAAAGCUUUGGAGUUUAAGACUUCCAGGGAAGGUAAAGAUUUUUCUAUGGCGUUGUUUACAUAAUGUGAUUCCGUGUUCGGGUGUUCUCGCAAACCGACAUAUUGGUACAAGCUCACAGUGCCCAGUAUGUAAGCUGGGGUGCGAAGAUAUAUGUCAUAUGCUUUUCAAAUGUGAGCGUGCAAGAGCAGUAUGGACGGCACUGGGAAUUUACAAUGACAUUGCCGAUGCAACACUUGUGGACAGAUCGGGAGCAAGGAUUAUUGAUUUCCUACUGUGUGAUAGGUCCAUUCAGAGACCAUACAUGGAUACAAUUGAACUACCUGAACUGAUUGCGACAACGCUGGUAUCUUUGGUGGCAACGUCGGCAAUAUGUCCGAGGAGAAGAAGUGCAACCGCCUCACGGUACAGCCCCGGCGAUCCAUGCGCUGACAUUGAAUUUCGUAAGAGCUGUAGGAAAGCAACCUGCUACAACACGUCUCAAUAA